CCUUGACAUGCUGAGAACUUUCUAGAGAUAGAUUGGUGCCUUCGGGAACUCAGACACAGGUGCUGCAUGGCUGUCGUCAGCUCGUGUCGUGAGAUGUUGGGUUAAGUCCCGUAACGAGCGCAACCCUUGUCCUUAGUUACCAGCACGUAAUGGUGGGCACUCUAAGGAGACUGCCGGUGACAAACCGGAGGAAGGUGGGAUGACGUCAAGUCAUCAUGGCCCUUACGGCCAGGGCUACACACGUGCUACAAUGGUCGGUACAAAGGGUUGCCAAGCCGCGAGGUGGAGCUAAUCCCAUAAAACCGAUCGUAGUCCGGAUCGCAGUCUGCAACUCGACUGCGUGAAGUCGGAAUCGCUAGUAAUCGUGAAUCAGAAUGUCACGGUGAAUACGUUCCCGGGCCUU
This 403-nucleotide ribosomal RNA is filed under the name uncultured Pseudomonas sp. RNAcentral describes it as "bacterial SSU rRNA". It matches the Rfam family "Bacterial small subunit ribosomal RNA", at positions 979 to 1382 of the family's 1533-position model. Lineage: Bacteria; Pseudomonadati; Pseudomonadota; Gammaproteobacteria; Pseudomonadales; Pseudomonadaceae. The record is from RNAcentral.